AGACCACACACUGCAGACAAACACCCUAAUUCCCAUCCCUCUUGCGGCGUGCUCCUCGGGGUUUUUUUGCCUUGCCGUCGUUCUCUCGGCGGCUUUGUUGCUGCCGCUUGUGAUUCCGAUCUGCGUUCUGAACUCCUCUAGAUUGGUCAACUAUACUUUGAUUUCGAGAUACAUUGUCGACUGUUACAUGCCCAUCCAACUCCGUGUUCAAAUGCAGCAUCAAGAACCUGCCCUCCUCUUCCUGAUAAAGAAUCCUCUGUUACUUGGCUCCUUGGAGAGUAUCUCAAAAGCAUCCAGCCUUAAGAUAUCCAACUGCUUCAGGGCAUCUGCCAUGGCUGUCUACUAGGUCAAGCUCAUUUGGCCACGGGGAGAGGAGCAUGAAUUUGAUGCUCCAGAAGAUACCUACAUUCUGGACUCAGCUGAGAGUGCUGGCAUUGACCUGCCUUACUCUUGCAGAGCUGGGGCAUGUUCUACAUGCGCUGGCCAGAUUGUGUCGGGUGCUGUUGAUCAGUCUGAUGGAUCCUUCCUUUGAUGAAUCACAGUUGGAGAAAGGUUACCUGCUGGCAUGCAUCUCGUAUCCAAGGGCAGAUUGUAUUAUCCACACACACAAGGAAAGCGAUUAAUCGCCCUCCAUCCGUUCGGCUGCUGUAGCUUCCUCUGGCUGCUGUUGGAUCAGGAAUAGUGAUCUCUUGUCAGGGAUUUCUCAUGGGUUUCGGUUGUCGCUGAGAGAAUUCUUUUGGAUGUCCUUUAAAAAUCUCAGUACCAAUGCUGAUACUGUAAAGUAUUGCUCUCUGAACUAUUGGUUCUGAUUUGAUUCAAUUUUUUAUCCUGCUUAAUUUCUCUCUUGUAUCUAUCUGCACAAACAUGAGCUCAGGUCUUCAGAUCUUGUUUGGUGUGUUGGAUCUUUGCGUGUAAUUGGUUAAAGCUUCGAUGAAUGGAAUGCUUGAUUGCAAACUAAA
Molecule: non-coding RNA, 959 nt
Organism: Musa acuminata subsp. malaccensis (wild Malaysian banana)
Lineage: Eukaryota; Viridiplantae; Streptophyta; Magnoliopsida; Zingiberales; Musaceae
Source: RefSeq, a predicted model, not a curated record